AACCUCCGCAAUGUGAGAAAUCGCGACGGGGGGAUCCCAAGUGCCAUUCUUAACGGGAUGGCUUUUCAUUAGUGUAAAAAGCUUUUGGAAUAAGAGCUGGGCAAGACCGGUGCCAGCCGCCGCGGUAACACCGGCAGCUCUAGUGGUAGCAAUUUUUAUUGGGCCUAAAGCGUCCGUAGCCGGUUUAAUAAGUCUCUGGUGAAAUCCUGCAGCUUAACUGUGGGAAUUGCUGGAGAUACUAUUAGACUUGAGACCGGGAGAGGUUAGAGGUACUCCCAGGGUAGAGGUGAAAUUCUGUAAUCCUGGGAGGACCGCCUGUUGCGAAGGCGUCUAACUGGAACGGUUCUGACGGUGAGGGACGAAAGUUAGGGGCGCGAACCGGAUUAGAUACCCGGGUAGUCCUAACUGUAACGAUGCGGACUUGGUGUUGGGGUGGCUUUGAGCUGCUCCAGUGCCGAAGGGAAGCUGUUAAGUCCGCCGCCUGGGAAGUACGGUCGCAAGACUGAAACUUAAAGGAAUU
Molecule: ribosomal RNA, 520 nt
Filed under: uncultured bacterium
Lineage: Bacteria
Description: bacterial SSU rRNA
Rfam family: Archaeal small subunit ribosomal RNA
Source: RNAcentral